RNAcentral lists this long non-coding RNA (240 nucleotides) under Hordeum vulgare. Its description in RNAcentral is "long non-coding RNA (HVUL_LNC011442)". The record is from RNAcentral. Lineage: Eukaryota; Viridiplantae; Streptophyta; Magnoliopsida; Poales; Poaceae.
GCCGCUGAUGAUCAGGAGUAGUUAGGAGGUUCCCAGGUAGGAGGCCUCGCCUCGUUCGAUCGUUGUAUCUUUUGUGCUAGCCUUCUCUAAGGCACCCCAUGUUGUUUUAUGUCUGUACUCAGAUAUCUGUUGCUUCCGCUGACUCGUGUGUUUAUCGAGCUUUCGUAUUCUAGCCCUCGAGGCCCCUGGCUUGUAAUAUGAAGCUGAUGUUAUUUUAUUUGUGUCUAGAGUUGUGUUGUG